Molecule: ribosomal RNA, 634 nt
Filed under: uncultured Basidiomycota
Lineage: Eukaryota; Fungi; Basidiomycota
Description: LSU rRNA
Rfam family: Eukaryotic large subunit ribosomal RNA
Source: RNAcentral
CCUCAAAUCAGGUAGGACUACCCGCUGAACUUAAGCAUAUCAAUAAGCGGAGGAAAAGAAACUAACAAGGAUUCCCCUAGUAACUGCGAGUGAAGCGGGAAAAGCUCAAAUUUAAAAUCUGGUAGUCUUUGGCUGCCCGAGUUGUAAUCUAGAGAAGCGUUAUCCGCGCUGGACCGUGUGUAAGUCUCCUGGAAUGGAGCGUCAUAGAGGGUGAGAAUCCCGUCUUUAACACGGACUACCAGGGCUUUGUGAUGCGCUCUCAAAGAGUCGAGUUGUUUGGGAAUGCAGCUCUAAAUGGGUGGUAAAUUCCAUCUAAAGCUAAAUAUUGGCGAGAGACCGAUAGCGAACAAGUACCGUGAGGGAAAGAUGAAAAGAACUUUGGAAAGAGAGUUAAACAGUACGUGAAAUUGUUGAAAGGGAAACGCUUGAAGUCAGUCGCGUUGGUCAGGGAUCAACCUUGCUUUUGCUUGGUGUACUUCCUGGUUAACGGGUCAGCAUCAAUUUUGACCAGUGGAAAAAGGUCAGGGGAAUGUGGCAUCUUCGGAUGUGUUAUAGCCUCUGGUCAUAUACAUUGGUUGGGAUUGAGGAACUCAGCACGCCGCAGGCCGGGUUUUAACCACGUUCGUGCUUAGGA